GACGAACGCUGGCGGCGUGCUUAACACAUGCAAGUCGAACGGAAAGGCCCUGCUUUUGUGGGGUGCUCGAGUGGCGAACGGGUGAGUAACACGUGAGUAACCUGCCCUUGACUUUGGGAUAACUUCAGGAAACUGGGGCUAAUACCGGAUAGGAGCUCCUGCUGCAUGGUGGGGGUUGGAAAGUUUCGGCGGUUGGGGAUGGACUCGCGGCUUAUCAGCUUGUUGGUGGGGUAGUGGCUUACCAAGGCUUUGACGGGUAGCCGGCCUGAGAGGGUGACCGGCCACAUUGGGACUGAGAUACGGCCCAGACUCCUACGGGAGGCAGCAGUGGGGAAUAUUGCACAAUGGGCGGAAGCCUGAUGCAGCAACGCCGCGUGCGGGAUGACGGCCUUCGGGUUGUAAACCGCUUUCGCCUGUGACGAAGCGUGAGUGACGGUAAUGGGUAAAGAAGCACCGGCUAACUACGUGCCAGCAGCCGCGGUGAUACGUAGGGUGCGAGCGUUGUCCGGAUUUAUUGGGCGUAAAGGGCUCGUAGGUGGUUGAUCGCGUCGGAAGUGUAAUCUUGGGGCUUAACCCUGAGCGUGCUUUCGAUACGGGUUGACUUGAGGAAGGUAGGGGAGAAUGGAAUUCCUGGUGGAGCGGUGGAAUGCGCAGAUAUCAGGAGGAACACCAGUGGCGAAGGCGGUUCUCUGGGCCUUUCCUGACGCUGAGGAGCGAAAGCGUGGGGAGCGAACAGGCUUAGAUACCCUGGUAGUCCACGCUGUAAACGGUGGGUACUAGGUGUGGGGUCCAUUCCACGGGUUCCGUGCCGUAGCUAACGCUUUAAGUACCCCGCCUGGGGAGUACGGCCGCAAGGCUAAAACUCAAAGGAAUUGACGGGGCCCCGCACAAGCGGCGGAGCAUGCGGAUUAAUUCGAUGCAACGCGUAGAACCUUACCUGGGUUUGACAUGGAUCGGGAGCGCUCAGAGAUGGGUGUGCCUCUUUUGGGGUCGGUUCACAGGUGGUGCAUGGCUGUCGUCAGCUCGUGUCGUGAGAUGUUGGGUUAAGUCCCGCAACGAGCGCAACCCUUGUUCACUGUUGCCAGCACGUUAUGGUGGGGACUCAGUGGAGACCGCCGGGGUCAACUCGGAGGAAGGUGGGGAUGACGUCAAGUCAUCAUGCCCCUUAUGUCCAGGGCUUCACGCAUGCUACAAUGGCUGGUACAGAGAGUGGCGAGCCUGUGAGGGUGAGCGAAUCUCGGAAAGCCGGUCUCAGUUCGGAUUGGGGUCUGCAACUCGACCACAUGAAGUCGGAGUCGCUAGUAAUCGCAGAUCAGCAACGCUGCGGUGAAUACGUUCCCGGG
RNAcentral lists this ribosomal RNA (1343 nucleotides) under uncultured bacterium. RNAcentral describes it as "16S ribosomal RNA". It matches the Rfam family "Bacterial small subunit ribosomal RNA", at positions 28 to 1378 of the family's 1533-position model. The record is from RNAcentral.